RNAcentral lists this ribosomal RNA (393 nucleotides) under uncultured bacterium. Its description in RNAcentral is "partial 16S ribosomal RNA". It matches the Rfam family "Bacterial small subunit ribosomal RNA", at positions 523 to 918 of the family's 1533-position model. The record is from RNAcentral.
AUACGGAGGAUGCGAGCGUUAUCCGGAUUUAUUGGGCUUAAAGGGUGCGUAGGCUGUGCGUUAAGUCAGGGGUGAAAUGCCGUGGCUUCACGACGGAGCUGCCCUUGAUACUGGCGUGCUGGAGUACGGAUGCCGUUGGAGGAAUGCGAGGUGUAGCGGGGAAAUGCUUAGAUAUCACUAAGAAAACCGAUUGCGAAGGCAUCUGGGGAGUCCGUCACGGACGCUGAGGCACGAAAGCGUGGGGAAAGAAAAGGAUUAGAUUCCUUGGUGUUCCACGCCGUAAACGAUGAUGACUAACCGUCGGCGAUAGACAGCCGGUGGCCAAGCGAAAGCGAUAAGUCAUCCACCUGGGGAGUACGUCGGCAACGAUGAAACUCAAAGGAAUUGACGGGG